AGAGUUUGAUCAUGGCUCAGAUUGAACGCUGGCGGCAUGCUUUACACAUGCAAGUCGAGCGGCAGCGCGGGGGCAACCCUGGCGGCGAGCGGCGAACGGGUGAGGAAUACAUCGGAACGUACCCCGGAGUGGGGGAUAACCCAGCGAAAGUUGGGCUAAUACCGCAUAUGCUCUGAGGAGGAAAGUGGGGGGAUUCGCAAGAACCUCACGCUCUGGGAGCGGCCGAUGUCCGAUUAGCUUGUUGGUGGGGUAAUGGCCUACCAAGGCGACGAUCGGUAGCUGGUCUGAGAGGAUGAUCAGCCACACUGGGACUGAGACACGGCCCAGACUCCUACGGGAGGCAGCAGUGGGGAAUUUUGGACAAUGGGGGCAACCCUGAUCCAGCCAUGCCGCGUGCGGGAAGAAGGCCUUCGGGUUGUAAACCGCUUUUGGUCGGGAAGAAAAGGUUAUCCCUAAUAAGGAUGACUCUUGACGGUACCGGCAGAAUAAGCACCGGCUAACUACGUGCCAGCAGCCGCGGUAAUACGUAGGGUGCGAGCGUUAAUCGGAAUUACUGGGCGUAAAGCGUGCGCAGGCGGUUUGUUAAGUCUGAUGUGAAAGCCCCGGGCUCAACCUGGGAACUGCAUUGGAAACUGGCAAGCUCGAGUAUGGCAGAGGGGGGUGGAAUUCCGCGUGUAGCAGUGAAAUGCGUAGAGAUGCGGAGGAACACCGAUGGCGAAGGCAGCCCCCUGGGCCAAUACUGACGCUCAGGCACGAAAGCGUGGGGAGCAAACAGGAUUAGAUACCCCCGUAGUCC
Molecule: ribosomal RNA, 796 nt
Filed under: uncultured bacterium
Lineage: Bacteria
Description: bacterial SSU rRNA
Rfam family: Bacterial small subunit ribosomal RNA
Source: RNAcentral